Molecule: non-coding RNA, 154 nt
Organism: Thamnophis sirtalis
Lineage: Eukaryota; Metazoa; Chordata; Lepidosauria; Squamata; Natricidae
Source: RefSeq, a predicted model, not a curated record
GUCUGCUCUCGCGAGAGUCGCCGACCCGCGUGGGUCCUCCGCGUUGCCGCGAGAGACUUCCUUCCUUUCCUCGUUGCCCGGCCAUCUUGGAGGGGCUCCUCUGGCAACGGCAGGGCCGACGUGAGCCGGCAAGAUGGUGGCCGCCAAGAAGACG